Malania oleifera is the source of this 370-nucleotide long non-coding RNA. RefSeq lists it as uncharacterized. The transcript has 2 exons. The record is from RefSeq and is a predicted model, not a curated record. Lineage: Eukaryota; Viridiplantae; Streptophyta; Magnoliopsida; Santalales; Ximeniaceae.
AAAAGACAUUAUUUUAUUCCCUAUAUAUAGACUAGAAAAUAAUCUUGCUACACACAACGAAGAUAGAAUAGAGAAGCAUGGAUAAAAGAUCAUAUGUCAUCAUUUUGCUACUAGUUGCCCUCUUCGUUUCUGAAAGUGAAAAGAUGAAGAUAAAUGCAGCGACAUGCUUUGAAAAUAUAUUUCACAAUACAACAACUUGCACUCCAGCGAACUGUACGAGCAAAUGCAAGUCAGCCGGAUACACAGGCGGCGAAUGUCAAGUCUUCAAUAUCUGCGUAUGUACUUUCCCGUGCUAGUCCAACUCACUCUAUUUAUAUAUUGGAGUUUGGAGUUGAAUAAAGCUAAUAAAAGUUGUUCUUUGGGUGUGCCA